UAAUACGGAGGGUGCAAGCGUUAAUCGGAAUUACUGGGCGUAAAGGGUGCGUAGGCGGUUUAAUAAGUUAAGUGUGAAAGACCCGGGCUUAACCUGGGGGAGUCAUUUAAGACUGUUAGACUUGAGUAUGGGAGAGGGUAGUGGAAUUUCCGGUGUAGCGGUGAAAUGCGUAGAGAUCGGAAGGAACAUCAGUGGCGAAGGCGGCUACCUGGCCUAAUACUGACGCUGAGGCACGAAAGCAUGGGGAGCAAACAGG
This 256-nucleotide ribosomal RNA is filed under the name uncultured bacterium. RNAcentral describes it as "partial 16S ribosomal RNA". It matches the Rfam family "Bacterial small subunit ribosomal RNA", at positions 521 to 776 of the family's 1533-position model. The record is from RNAcentral.